UACAGAGGGGGCUAGCGUUGUCCGGAUUUAUUGGGCGUAAGGAGCGUGUAGGCGGCCAGAUAGGUCUGCUGUGAAAACUCGAGGCUCAACCUCGAGAUGUCGGCGGAAACCAUUUGGCUAGAGUCCGGAAGAGGAAAGUGGAAUUCCUGGUGUAGCGGUGAAAUGCGCAGAUAUCAGGAAGAACACCCGUGGCGAAGGCGGCUUUCUGGGACGGUACUGACGCUGAGACGCGAAAGCGUGGGGAGCGAACAGG
This 253-nucleotide ribosomal RNA is filed under the name uncultured bacterium. Its description in RNAcentral is "partial 16S ribosomal RNA". It matches the Rfam family "Bacterial small subunit ribosomal RNA", at positions 524 to 776 of the family's 1533-position model. The record is from RNAcentral.